UUUUCGGAGAGUUUGAUCCUGGCUCAGAACGAACGCUGGCGGUGUGGAUAAGGCAUGCAAGUCGAACGGACUUUCUAGCUGUUUCGGAAAGUUAGUGGCGCACGGAUGCGUAAUACGUGGUUAAUUUGCCUUUGAGAUCGGGAUAACCCGUCGAAAGACGAGCUAAUACCGGAUGUGACCACAGAUACUGCGGUAUCAGGGGUAAAAGCUGGGGACUACGGCGAAAGCCGUUGCCUAGCACUCAAAGAUGAGAUCACGGCCUAUCAGGUAGUUGGUGAGGUAAUGGCUCACCAAGCCUAUGACGGGUAGCUGGUCUGAGAGGAUGGUCAGCCAUACUGGAACUGAGACACGGUCCAGACUCCUACGGGAGGCAGCAGCCGAGAAUCUUCCGCAAUGGGCGCAAGCCUGACGGAGCGACACCGCGUGUAGGAUGAAGGCCUUCGGGUUGUAAACUACUGUCACUUGGAAAGAAACUCACGGCGGUGAAUAACCGCAGUGACUGACGGUACCAAGAGAGGAAGCCACGGCUAACUCUGUGCCAGCAGCCGCGGUAAUACAGAGGUGGCGAGCGUUGUUCGGAUUAACUGGGUGUAAAGGGUAUGUAGGCGGCUUGGAAAGUUGGAUGUGAAAUCCUAUUGCUCAACGAUAGAAUUGCAUUCAAGACUACUGAGCUAGAGUGUGAGAGAGGUAAAGGGAAUUCCCGGUGUAAGGGUGAAAUCUGUAGAGAUCGGGAGGAACACCAGCGGCGAAGGCGCUUUACUAGCUCGCAACUGACGCUGAAUAUACGAAAGCAUGGGUAGCAAACGGGAUUAGAUACCCCGGUAGUCCAUGCCGUAAACGAUGUUCACUAGGUGUUGGCUCCGUUUCAUUCGGGGUCAGUGCCGUCGCUAACGCAUUAAGUGAACCACCUGGGGAGUAUACUCGCAAGGGUGAAACUCAAAGGAAUUGACGGGGACCCGCACAAACGGUGGAGCAUGUGGUUUAAUACGACGAUACGCGUGGAACCUCACCCAGGCUUGACAUGCACAGGAAAUCCUUAUGAAAGUAGGGACCUCCUUCACAGGACCUGUACACAGGUGUUGCAUGGCUGUCGUCAGCUCGUGUCGUGAGAUGUUGGGUUAAGUCCCGCAACGAGCGCAACCCCUAUCCUUAGUUGCUAACGGGUCAUGCCGAGAACUCUAAGGAGACUGCCAGUGAUGAACUGGAGGAAGGUGGGGAUGACGUCAAGUCAGUACGGCCCUUACGCCUGGGGCUACACACGUGCUACAAUGGCCGGUACAAUGGGCUGCCAAACCGCAAGGUGGAGCUAAUCCUGAAAACCGGUCCCAGUUCGAAUUGAAGGCUGCAAUUCGCCUUCAUGAAGCUGGAAUCGUUAGUAACCCCGUAUCAGCCACGACGGGGUGAAUACGUUCCCGGGUCUUGUACACACCGCCCGUCAAGUGAUCCGAGUUGAUUGUACCCGAAGUAGGCUGUCUAACCGCAAGGAGGACAUCUGCGAAGGUAUGGUUAAUGAGGAGCACUAAGUCGUAACAAGGUAACCUUACCGGAAGGUGAGGUUGGAUCACCUCCUUUCUA
RNAcentral lists this ribosomal RNA (1575 nucleotides) under Candidatus Omnitrophica bacterium CG12_big_fil_rev_8_21_14_0_65_45_16. Its description in RNAcentral is "bacterial SSU rRNA". It matches the Rfam family "Bacterial small subunit ribosomal RNA". The record is from RNAcentral. Lineage: Bacteria; Pseudomonadati; Candidatus Omnitrophota.